GACUAAGUCUCAGUGGUAAAGCUUUGGCUUAGUAUGUAGAAGGCCCCAGGUUCAAUCCCUGGUAAAGGGAUCA
This 73-nucleotide transfer RNA is filed under the name Sphaerodactylus townsendi. RNAcentral's name for it is "tRNA-Thr". The record is from RNAcentral. Lineage: Eukaryota; Metazoa; Chordata; Lepidosauria; Squamata; Sphaerodactylidae.